Molecule: ribosomal RNA, 439 nt
Filed under: uncultured bacterium
Lineage: Bacteria
Description: partial 16S ribosomal RNA
Rfam family: Bacterial small subunit ribosomal RNA
Source: RNAcentral
CUACGGGACGCUGCAGUGGGGAAUCUUAGACAAUGGGCGCAAGCCUGAUCUAGCCGUGCCGCGUGAGUGACGAAGGCCUUAGGGUCGUAAAGCUCUUUCGCUGGGGAAGAUAAUGACGGUACCCAGUAAAGAAACCCCGGCUAACUCCGUGCCAGCAGCCGCGGUAAUACGGAGGGGGUUAGCGUUGUUCGGAAUUACUGGGCGUAAAGCGCGCGUAGGCGGAUCAGAAAGUUGGGGGUGAAAUCCCGGGGCUCAACCCCGGAACUGCCUUCUAAACUCCUGGUCUCGAGUUCGAGAGAGGUGAGUGGAAUUCCGAGUGUAGGGGUGAAAUUCGUAGAUAUUCGGAGGAACACCAGUGGCGAAGGCGGCUCACUGGCUCGAUACUGACGCUGAGGUGCGAAAGCGUGGGGAGCAAACAGGAUUAGAUACCCGGGUAGUC